AUGAAGGGCAAAAUCCUCACACUGGCAUUUAAGUGCUUUCGCAGCAUGGUGCUCUGUUCGCUUGAGAUUGUGAUCUGCUACGGCCCUCAACUCCAGAGGUUUAUCACUAGUGACUGUUCACCCCAAACACACUUUGCUUAUGCCUUCCUCCAACAUCUGAGAUCGGAUGACUGUAGUUGUGUAUCUUUACUUCUGAGUUCUCUAUUUGAUUCCCUUAGUCUGUGUCUGUUUUUAUAUAGUACCAUGCUGUUUUGGUUACUGUAGCCUUACGGUAUAGUUUUAAGUGAGGUCAUAGGAUGUCUCUGUCUUUUUUAGUUUUGCUUAGAAUUGCUUUAGCUACUCUGGCUCUUUUUUGGUUCCAUAUACAUUUUAGAAUCUUUUUUUCCAGUUCUGUGAUGAAUAACAUUGGUAGCUUGAUAGGAAUAAUGCUGCAUCUGUACAAUGCUUUGGGCAGCAUGGCCAUUUUAACAACAUUUAUUCUUCCAAUCCAUGAGCAUAGAAUAUUCUCCCAUUUAUUUGUGUAAUCUAUGAUUUCUUUCAGCAGUGGUCUGCUACUCUUCAGUGUCAACAUAAUUAUCAUCACUUUUUGACAUUGGAAAACCGAGGAUAUAUAAUGUUAUUGGAAUUUAUACAGAUAACAAAUGGUCAAACCUUAUGCUGCUCAGUAUUGUUAUAUUUUCCAUUUGAGGAAAGAAGGAAUUUCUCUUAUAACAAUAAAUAUCUACAAUAAGCAAUCUACUAAUUUUAGCUUACUCAUUUCUAUGUGACAAAUUAGCAAGUCAUCUUGUAUGAUUAGGUUUAGUAGUUUCAUUAUUUUCUUCUUAUAUUUUUUUCUAAUUUUUCAUUUUGUACAGAGGGCUCCAUUGAGUUUUGCUGGAAAAAUGUAUUGCUUUAUUUUCUAUCAUUUGAUAGUCUGAGAAGGAUACUGUAAUAGUGGUUUUGUCAAGCUCAAAUGGAGUAGACUCAGGAGAUCUGCUGUUUAUAUGGAACUCAGAAACGUCACUUCCCAAGUUGUGAGUGGUGUUAAGACUAGGCAUAAAGUCUUCUGAUUUCUAGUCCAGUGGCCUUUUUACAUCAUAAUGCUACUUUUCACAUUGUAUGCCAAACUGCACAUUAUAUUAACAGAGAAGGCACUGAAAGGUCUUAAAUGCACAGAAAUGUUAUAAAUGGUGCCGUGAAUGAAGUAGAUUGCAUUUUUAUUGUAAUCAAUUGAGUCUAGAAACUUUCAAAUAACAUGUGAGUUUUAAUGCUAUAUGGGUCUGUGAGAGAAUAAUAAAGAACAAUUCUCGUUCUUAUUUCACUGGGGUUAGAGUGGAGCCCUUUUUGUCCCUUAAUUUCCCUAAUUAGUCUCAACUGUGUUCUCCCUCUAUGUUAGCAGGCCAAGACAGUAUCUGCUUUAUUGCCAUGGGAGGAAAACUUGCUCUUAUUGAGCUUUAUUAGAUACUCCAUUCUCUCAUUUAGAAUCCUAUUAAGUUUCCCCUUGGCAUUUUCUAAAUCAAUUAGUUUUAGCCUUACCCUUCUUAAUAGGCUCCUUUUGGGGGCUCCUAAUUUUAGUCCCUAACUCUGGUAUUUGUAGUUGCCUUUCCCUUUUCUUUUGGGCAAAGACUUCAAUCAAUUUUCCAUGCAAUACUGCUUUGCUAGCAUCCCACAGAGUCAUAUCUAUGACCUCACCAUUAUCACUGUCUGUUAAAUAUUCAGCCCAUAUGUCUUUGGGCUUUUCCCUAAACUAUUGCUGCUGAAGGAAGUAAUUAUUACUUUACCAUCUUAGCACUCCCUUGUUGCUUUUCAAGGGAAAUAAUUCCACACCCAAGCGAAUCAUUGCAGGGUCCGAAACUAGAAUCUUGUCAAUAGAACAGCAACUUUGCCCUCAGUCUCUAGUGGGAAUAGAAGAAAAUGGUUCUGGAAAAGGAAGAAUGGUUUAUACAAUACAAUUGUGAGUUGUGGCCAUGAGCAUGCUUAUUUGUUUUAAAAAUCAGCAUAAAUGGUUAAUAGAUUGUAUGGUGCAAAGAAUUAGAGAAUAAUUAUAUUUUAGCAUCAUGAAGUGCACUCCCACCCCUAUUAGGGAAUUGUUCUGGUAAUGUAUCUAGAUAUUUGUUUCCAUAAACACAGAUAAAUUAUAUGUACAGUAAGACAUUAAUUUUAUAAAAUAAUUUUUUUUGAGAUGGUGCCUCGCUCUUGUCACCCAAGCUGGAGUACAAUGGCCAGAUCUUGGCUCAAUGCAACAUCCACCUCCCAAGUUCAAGGGAUUCUCCUGCCCCAGCCUCUUGAGUAGCUGGGAUUACAGGUACCCACUACCAUGCCUGGCUAAUAUUUUGUAUUUUUGGUAGAGACAGGGUUUCACCAUGUUGGUCAGGCUGGUCUCCAACUCCUAACCUCUGUUGAUCCACCCUCCUUGGCCUCCCAAAGUGUGGGGAUUACAGGCUUGAGCCACCACACCUGGCCUAAAAUAAAUUUUUAAAAACUAGAAGGUAAUAUAUAAAAUGUUAAUUAAUUAAUUAAUUAAAUUUUUUUAGACGGAGUUUCGCUCUUGUUACCCAGGCUGGAGUGCAAUGGCACGAUCUCGGCUCACUGCAACCUCCACCUCCUGGGUUCAGGCAAUUCUCCUGCCUCAGCCU
This 2615-nucleotide long non-coding RNA is filed under the name Callithrix jacchus (white-tufted-ear marmoset). RNAcentral describes it as "lncRNA (ENSCJAG00000082242.1)". Lineage: Eukaryota; Metazoa; Chordata; Mammalia; Primates; Cebidae. The record is from RNAcentral.